Molecule: long non-coding RNA, 216 nt
Organism: Trichomycterus rosablanca
Lineage: Eukaryota; Metazoa; Chordata; Actinopteri; Siluriformes; Trichomycteridae
Exons: 3
Source: RefSeq, a predicted model, not a curated record
AGGUACCUGAAACUUCAUCUCCUCCUUAUGUAUGGAUCUAUUGUCCUGAAAAAAGGUUGCUGAUGGACCUCAAUCUUUACUGUUUCAGUCCUGCAGAGGCUAACUCGGUUUUGACCGACAUCAGUCGGGUCAUGCGGUGGGGCAGAAACCUGUGGACAAACUAUAGUAGGGACUUCCGAGGAACCUGAUGAGAUCCAGGGUGUCUGCAGUGUUUAG